Molecule: RNA transcript, 6132 nt
Organism: Mus pahari (shrew mouse)
Lineage: Eukaryota; Metazoa; Chordata; Mammalia; Rodentia; Muridae
Gene: Luc7l3
Gene name: LUC7 like 3 pre-mRNA splicing factor
Exons: 12
Source: RefSeq, a predicted model, not a curated record
AUGCUGGGAAGGUGCCCGGGCGGCGGCCAUUUUGUCUUCUCGGCUCCUCUCUGGCAGAGGCUUUGGGGCUUGAGAGUGGGCCGACGGGGGUUCGGUUCGGCGGCCGGGGCGGCUGGUGGGGCUUUUUCGUCGGGUGGGUGCUAGGGCUGGCGUGAGCAGCCGCCCGGAGGAAGCACCAUGAUUUCUGCCGCGCAGUUGCUGGAUGAGUUAAUGGGCCGGGACCGAAACCUCGCCCCGGAUGAGAAGCGCAGCAACGUGCGCUGGGACCACGAGAGCGUUUGUAAAUAUUAUCUCUGUGGUUUUUGUCCUGCGGAAUUGUUCACAAAUACCCGUUCUGAUCUUGGUCCAUGUGAAAAAAUUCAUGAUGAAAAUCUAAGAAAACAGUAUGAGAAGAGUUCUCGGUUUAUGAAAGUUGGCUAUGAGAGAGAUUUUUUACGAUACUUACAGAGUUUACUUGCCGAGGUAGAGCGCAGAAUUAGACGAGGUCAUGCUCGUUUGGCAUUAUCUCAAAAUCAGCAGUCUUCUGGGGCUGCUGGUCCAACAGGCAAAAAUGAAGAAAAAAUUCAGGUUCUGACAGACAAAAUUGAUGUGCUUCUACAGCAGAUUGAAGAGUUAGGAUCUGAAGGAAAGGUAGAAGAAGCCCAGGGAAUGAUGAAAUUGGUUGAACAGUUAAAGGAAGAGAGAGAAUUACUAAGAUCUACAACCUCGACUAUAGAAAGUUUUGCUGCCCAAGAAAAACAGAUGGAAGUUUGUGAAGUGUGUGGAGCCUUUUUGAUAGUAGGAGAUGCCCAGUCCCGGGUAGAUGACCAUCUGAUGGGAAAGCAACACAUGGGCUAUGCCAAAAUUAAAGCCACUGUGGAAGAAUUAAAAGAAAAGUUAAGAAAAAGAACAGAGGAACCUGAUCGGGAUGAACGUCUCAAAAAAGAGAAGCAAGAAAGAGAGGAAAGAGAAAAAGAGCGGGAGAGAGAAAGGGAAGAACGGGAAAGAAAAAGACGAAGAGAAGAGGAAGAAAGGGAAAAAGAAAGAGCUCGUGACAGAGAAAGGAGAAAGAGAAGUCGUUCGCGGAGUAGACACUCAAGCCGAACUUCUGACCGGAGAUGCAGCAGGUCUCGGGACCACAAAAGAUCACGGAGUAGAGACAGAAGGCGAAGCAGAAGUAGAGAUCGACGAAGAAGCAGAAGCCAUGACAGAUCAGAAAGAAAACAUAGAUCUCGCAGUCGGGAUCGAAGACGGUCAAAAAGCCGAGAUCGAAAGUCAUAUAAGCACAGGAGCAAAAGUCGGGACAGAGAACAAGAUAGAAAGUCCAAGGAGAAAGAAAAGAAGGGAUCUGAUGAUAAAAAGAGUAGUGUGAAGUCCAGUAGUCGAGAAAAACAGAGUGAAGACACAAACCCUGAAUCGAAGGAAAGUGACACUAAGAAUGAGGUCAAUGGGACCAGUGAAGACAUUAAAUCUGAAGUGCAGCGUAAGUAUGCACAGAUGAAGAUGGAGCUAAGCCGAGUAAGAAGACAUACAAAAGCCUCUUCUGAAGGAAAAGACAGUGUAGUCCUGCAAAACAUUUUGAGGUACAUUGUUUUGUCUCAGCUAUUUUGUAGCAGACUUCGUGCCCCCAUUAGUGUGCCUCUUUGGAAAUAACUGUCCACGUAUGUAAUAUAGUCGCCAUUGAAAAGUUAAUUAUCCUUUUUUUUAGGGAUUUUGCUGUCAUUUCUUUUUCUUUUCUUUUUUUUUAAUAAAAAGGUUGAACUGUUUUUUUUUUUUUUUCUUUUUGGUAUUAAGUCCAUCUUGUGUUGGUACAUUGGCAGAAACAUAUGCUUUAAAACUUAACUAUUUCUGAGGCACAUGUUGGACUACUUUGUUUUAAUUAAACUGCUAGUAUUUAUUUGUCCAGGAUGUUUCUAGUUUUUUGCUUUAUUGCCUUGCAUUCUAAUGCAGUUUGUUCUGUAACUCGAGAGCCAGUAGCAUUGGAUUGAUGGAAGUGUAGGGUUUAUGAAUUAUUGCAGCUGACUACCAUACCUCACACAGCGUUGGUGUUGUGAGCGGCCCAUGAAAAGCCAAAUUAGAAAUCAAGGAUUCAGUCAAACUAAGCAGGACUACUGUUGAAGAGUUUUUGAAGAAUACUGAAAACGGAAUAAAGUGAAGAUCAACAUUAAAAUGAGGUGAAAGAAAGCUAUAGUGGCGUAGAAAAAAGUAUAAAGCUCAGUUAGUUAUUUGGUUUUUUUAUUAUUAUUAUUAUUAAAAAUUAAUUCAGGACUGUUGUGACCUACCAGAUUUCAGAACAUGUGUUAAUAGCACAUAUGCCACUUUGAAAACUUAGGUCCUGUAUCAUAUUUUUUCUUUAAGACUUUUUAAGAAAUAUUACCUAAACAUGUGGCUUGCUCAGUGUUUACUUGCAAGUUUUCAGUCUUGGACUUUGAAGACAGGAUUACACGUUAGUACUUAUGUGAAGCAGACUGGGAUUCCAUUUUUACACUUCUGCUAUACUUAGCCUUUGGAUUUAGAAGUGAAAAUAAAGUAUCUCUGACUUUCUGUUACAAAGUUGAUUGUCUGUGUCAUUGAAAGGCUUUAGUGUUGCUCUUUUUCUAAUAAAGUGACGACUCCAACUGCUCUCUUGUUUUUAACUACCAGGCACACUAGUAAUGCAGGUGUAGUGAACUUCUCCUAACCUGUCCUGUUGAAGGGUAAUUUUUUACACAACUUCCUGUUUGAUGUUUUAAUGGUGCUUCAAUCUUGGCUGGUUAUGAAAAAAUUUGGAUUUGCUUUCAAUAGCAAAGGUGUACAGUGAACUGCAAUAUAUUUUUAUACCCAUGAGGUUUCUUUAGUAGUAAAAGGUUCUAAAUAACCUCACAGUGUCUUCCUCUGGCAACCUAUGAAAAGGAUUUAGAACUUUCAGCUGUUUUCUUCCUUUCCUUUAAAUCCUAUACUAGUAAUUUCUUUUAACCCAGUCUUGUUUGGUUAUAAAUGUAUAUAUUUCUGUGUAUGUAGUGAGUAGUACAUAUAACAAGGAUAUCUGGAAAGUAAUAAAGCAGGUAUUUCACAUGGAAGUAGCAGCAUGUUUGUAUCUAGCCCCAUUGACUGUAUAAAGUAUUACCCCAAUCACAGGUGGUUACAUAUCAUAGCAGUUCCUUGUGACUUAGGUUUUCAAUACUGCCAUCAGUUUAUAGGUGAAGAAACUGAGCAGAUGGCUUAUCUAGGGAAUGGCCUCGUGUGGAUCAAUAUUAGGGCACAGAGACUGGGUCUCUGCUCUGUCUUUUCUAACUGUAGUGCUGCUGUGCUCCUUCUAGUGUGUGUUAGGGGUCAUCGCAGAAUUUAUUAAGUAAAAUACUCUAUACUAAACUAGGAUGAUCAUGUCGCCAUCACUUUUAGAAGCACUAUAUGAGAACAUGUUAAUCUGGACAGAGCCCUUAUGGCUUCCCCGGCUUAUCUAGAGAUGAGCAGUAGGUGGGGAGGCUGUCUCUGAGGGUUUGAGAGAUGAGGCAGGUGAAGAUGAAGUUAAUUGUCAGCAGCAGUCUGGCACACACCAGGUUAUCCAACUCUGCUUGCUUGCUUGAUGACAUUGUUGUAUUAAGAACGAAAUGUAAGAAAUCUGCUCAAGUACUAAAAUGCCAGAUUGCUUUCUUCUGCCUCAUCUAGACUCAACAGUGAAUAUAAAUGAAGGACAGCAAGUUGGGCUCCUGUGAAAGGCAUCUUCUGGACACUUAGAUGCAGAUAAAGGAUUUGAGAGAGUUUGCCCCUUAGAGUGUCCAGUAUAGAGGCUAGGAAACUUACUAUAAGAAAUGCAUUUCUAUUUUGUAGACCAAAUAGCUGACUCUGUCAUUUGCCGUGUGUGUGUGUGUGUGUGUGUGUGUGUGUGUGUGUGUGUGUGUGUGUGNGAGAGAGAGAGAGAGAGAGAGAGAGAGAGAGAGAGAGAGAGAGAGAAAGAGAGAAUUGUCUGUAUCAUGUCUUUUUGGAGAGCCAGUCUUAAUUUUGAAAUCAGGGCAAGCAGUUAGUUGAUCUUUUUAAAAAUGCCUUUUUGGAACUUACCACAUGAAAGUAUAACAAUAUAAUCAAUCUCUGUUAACCUAUCUCCAGUAAUACUCAUAGCUAUAGCUAGUUCCAUGUGUGUGCAUGUUUUCAGUGUGUGUGGGGAGGGGUCUUGCACAAGUGUAUAUGUGUGUAUUUGUGUGUAUGCACGUCUACUCUUAAUGUAUUCUCAAGCAAGUCUCAGUUAUGCUAUGUAACCUGUGUCUCUGAAAGAAGAGGUUUCUUUGUAAAAUCUGAGCUUUUACUCAGUAGUUCUCAGACUGAUAGCGCUUUACUUUGUAGCUCUCAAGAGGGUGGAGAACUGUAGAGUGUAGACAGCCUCUGCAGCAGACUCCAGCUACACUUCAGUUGGAUUUGAAACCACUUGUGUACCUCUAUAAUCAGGAGCUGUUAAAUUGUUUGAGGUAUUCUGCUUAGGUACAAUAGUUUUCACCUUGAAUGUGGGCAGGAUCACAUACAUACCCUUAUACCCUUUGAGCUGAGCUACCAAAUUAAAAGAUUUGGGGGCUAUACAGUCAGAAGGUUUGACUCUCCAUCUAGGUGGUAGAUAGGUGCAGUUGGUGAGGGGCUUGGAUAUGCUGUAGACGUCAUCUACAUGCAUGGAACCUUCUGUGGGGUGACACUUCAGGGUUGGCUUGCAACCUUCAUUCUGACUCGGUUCUAUUUGCUCAUGAAAGAACCCUCCUUAGAUGGCUGUGCAUUUUAACCUGUUUGAUAACUGCAAUUGUAAUGCUUGCUCUUGGUUUAAAAGCAACAGCAAAAUAUUCGGUAUCUGUCUUCCCUUACCCGUGAUUGUCUGCUCCUUUCUAGCUCCAGGGUCAAGAUCCUGAUGUUGCCUGUUCUUUCUUCCAAGUACUGGGGAAGGGGGCAGGAAGUGGGAGGUGGGAAUAUAAAAUGUCUUUUUAUAUAUGGUGGGAAUAUAGAUGUCUUUAUAUAUGAUGGUGUCCAUCAUAUAUGUUCUGAAUUUGCCAUUUUCAGUUACCAUAUUUGGAAACAUUUAUCUUGAGAUACAGGACACAGUGCUUUGAAGUUGUAAGUGUUGCUUUUAAAAAGUGCGUUUCAAGUAAGCUGAAACAGGGUAAAUGGCAUGUUCAUUGUGUCAGAAUGAUGGAUUUUCUAUUAAAAUACAAUUUCCGAGUUUCACAGUUGAUCUAUUUCUUUCCCUCUGCCAUCUCAAGUAGAUCAGUUAUCUGUCAACAGGUUUGUUUAGGGACAAUUUUGGAAACGGUUCAGCACAGUUAAGUGUCAGCCCUAGGUACAUACUCGAAAAACUCUUCCAUGCUGCCAGGAGAAGGAUGAACAAAUAUCUUCAUGUCAUCUUGUGUGAUGAAGAAGAGAAAACCCAAACCUGCAAACCCCUGGGCGGGUCCCAUCAGCAUUUGUGUGGAUAACUGGCGUGGCCCAUCCCCACCAUGGAAUUCCACGGGCGUGAAGAUGAACUUCAGCUCCGCAUGUGACCUGGACGAUGACCACGACUUAAUAAUGUCCCCAAAAAUCAAGCCACAGAAGGAUUUAUCCAUUAUGAUUCACUUUGGUAAAGGUCAAAACAGGCUGUUAAAAAUACAUGGUAAACGACAGUGAAACAAACAGUUGACAUACAGAUCAUGCUUAGCGGCUGCUUUGAGAAUGACCUUGGAGGGCAAAGUGGGUUUCAGAGUAAUGGCCACCGCUCUUUCUCUAACUCGAUGGGCUUUUUUCUUUUUGAACUGUAUGUUUGUGUGCUUUUGUAUAUAUGCUAUUUCUUAAUAAAAAAUUUUUUUUAAGUGGGAAAAGGACUUGGUGUAGGUAGUGACUGAUAAACAUGCUAGCUAACCUCAAUACAUACAGAUUUUAAAAAUACACUUUCUCCUUUUAUUCUUGAUGGUCUCACUAUGUCUAGCCCAGCCUAGUCUGGACCUUCAGAAUCUUUCCAUCAAUUCUUGGAUUAUGAGUACACUGCCAUACUUGGCCAGAUAUAGAAUCCUGACCACUACAGACAAGGCAUACACAUGUGGUAUCUUUUUUUGUUAAAUGGCAGCUAGGGAAUGGGUACUUGUAAGCAGCCUUCCAAGGAAGGUUAACAAAAACAUUUACUCUUUAAAAAAAAUAAUGAUAAUUAGGACUUGAAAAGCACCA